RNAcentral lists this ribosomal RNA (500 nucleotides) under uncultured bacterium. Its description in RNAcentral is "partial 16S ribosomal RNA". It matches the Rfam family "Bacterial small subunit ribosomal RNA", at positions 30 to 523 of the family's 1533-position model. The record is from RNAcentral.
AUUGAACGCUGGCGGAAUGCUUUACACAUGCAAGUCGAACGGCAGCACGGACUUCGGUCUGGUGGCGAGUGGCGAACGGGUGAGUAAUGUAUCGGAACGUGCCCAGUCGUGGGGGAUAACGUAGUGAAAAUUACGCUAAUACCGCAUGCGAUCUAUGGAUGAAAGCGGGGGAUCGCAAGACCUUGCGCGAUUGGAGCGGCCGAAAUCAGAUUAGGUAGUUGAUGGGGUAAAGGCCCACCAAGCCAACGAUCUGUAGCUGGUCUGAGAGGACGACCAGCCACACUGGAACUGAGACACGGUCCAGACUCCUACGGGAGGCAGCAGUGGGGAAUUUUGGACAAUGGGCGAAAGCCUGAUCCAGCCAUUCCGCGUGCAGGAUGAAGGCCCUCGGGUUGUAAACUGCUUUUGUACAGAACGAAAAGGUUUCUACUAAUACUAGGAGCUCAUGACGGUACUGUAAGAAUAAGCACCGGCUAACUACGUGCCAGCCGCCGCAGUAA